Long non-coding RNA from Felis catus (domestic cat), 7834 nucleotides. RefSeq lists it as uncharacterized. The transcript has 3 exons. The record is from RefSeq and is a predicted model, not a curated record. NCBI's taxonomy places the organism in Eukaryota, Metazoa, Chordata, Mammalia, Carnivora, Felidae.
AAAUAAAUAAACAUUAAAAAAUUAAAAUAAAAGAAAAUACAAUCUUAUAAGCAUGUUAAAGAUACUUACAUUUUUAUAAGUAGGUUUUAUAACUUACUGUUUUUCUUUUAAAUUUUCUUCAAGAGCAAUUUCCAACUUGACAGGCUAAUCCAGAAGCAAUGACGUCUAAAGGCAAGCACUGACACAACUGUACAAUUCUAUCAAAAGUGGUCGAUUUGGGAGGAAGGAAACUGGUGUGAUCAGUCUACUUGGAGUUAUGUAGGCCAAAGAAUGGGUGAUUUGUUUACUGUCUACUAAUACUAAAUUAAACCCAACAGCCGAUUGGCAUGCUGGUGAUGGGUGAUUGGAGCCAAGGCUUAGAAUUUAAAGCUCUAUACUGUUUUAAUAAAUACUGGGCUAUUUUGGAUCUUUUAACAUCUUUUGGUAAAGUCUAAAGGUUUUGAUUUUAAAAUAGAGGGUUCAUUCAGAAGAAAAGAUUUUUAUCUUCUUUAAUGAGUUGCAAAAACAUGCAAAAUAACAUCCUGAAGCUGUUGAAGUUAAAGUUUCUGAGCCUGAAAGGGUAAGAAAAACCCAGGAGUAUUUUGAUUCCCCCAGAUUUUUUGUUUGAUGUGUCUGGAGUUACACAUUAAAUAACUAAAUGCCCUUUCCUUCCCUUUUAAGCUUUUCAUCUUCAAAGAUUAAGCAAUAUAUAAUUAUUUAUUCCAGCACUAAUUUUUCUGUCUGCCAGUAAAAAUCUGUUCAUUUAAAAAUAUGUUUAAAAAGUACCUGAAUGCAUUAUGAAUUUAGCGACCAUACUUUAAUUCUAUAACUGCAGAUGAUAAAUCUAUAUUCAAAGAAGCAUUUCUGUAACUGACAGGAUAGUAACAUGUAUAAUGCAGGUCUCAUGAAUACUGAUUCUCUCUUGCUAGCUCUCUCUCUCUCUCUCUCUCUCUCUCACACACACACACACACACACACACACACACACACACACACUGAAUUUCAAAGUCAUUCCUGGAACAUUUUCCAAGCUUACAUUCACAAGUACCUUUCAAAGAAUUAGAUGUGUUUAUUUCAUAUAGUGAAAGGGAAAUGCAACUUAACAUUUGCCUGAUCCCAUAUAUAUUCCAAAAUUUAUUGAGCUUGUUUGUUGUUGUUGUUUGCUUAUUUGUUUACAAGCCUUACAUUGGUCUUCAAAUUUGAUUCUUUUAAAGAUGAGCAUGAUACAAGUGGUCUACAACAGACCAUUGACAGUACAGGAACUCAUGAAUUCUGGCAAUCCUCUGGGUAAUCAUAAACCAAACAAAUACAAAAGCUAAAACUCAAAACUUCUGAAUAUUGACUUUUGUAUUCUUGCUUUACUUUAUCAGAUUCUAUGAAAAAUAAGAGAAAACUGAAAAACGUGAUAAUUAAUUCUCUAAUUUUGAUAUUCUCUAUUCUUUUCUCCCUGUCCUUUCUUGCGUUAAUAUAGAUUUCUUUGAUAAAAUAAGAGGUAACAUUAAGCUGCUUUCCUCACUGUCUUUCAGAUAAUGCAUUAAAUAUUCUAUACUUAUUUAUUAAAUGCAUACUCAAAAUUUAUAGCUACAGAUAGUCACCUUGACUUUAUGCAGCUGUGUAAAUUUGGACUAAUUUUUAGCCAACAUACUGCAGCCACUGUAUCUGGAUCUGAAGAGUCUGAGUCAUUCCUGAAAUGCCUUCAUAAUAUUGUGUACUCACUCAGAACAUCUCUAGACCUCAUUUUGUGGAAGUUAGUUUGGUGGUUUAGCACACAGGUCUGGUCCUAAGGACACCUGGCUUCAAAUCUCAACCUUUCUCUUAUGUCAUUUUGGGCAAUUUUCUUAGCUUCUCUCUUCAUUUUUUAAAUGGAAAUAAAAUAAAUAGAAAUAAAUGGAAAUAAAAAUGGUAUCCAAAUUAUUUGGUGGUUAUGAGGAUUAAAUGAAAUAAUACAAUCAAAGUGCUGGGUGCUAAUUAAGUGUUCAAAAUGUUAGUUUCUAUUAUUAUGACAUCAUUCCAGAUCAGUUUAUCAGUGACCUCAUUACUUCAUAGCCAUAUUUUAUUUUGAUCUUACAAUACUAUUCCCUGGACUUAUCAGCCACUAUAUUUAUGAAACUUGCAUCUCAGCGACUUUUGACUAUAUUUGAAAAGCAAAUUUACUCUUGAUGGCAAUUAUUUCCUUACAUUAAACAAAAUGUGAAGAAACAAAACAAAAUGUGAAGCCAAAUGUGUUUUGAAGAAUGACUCAAGUUUACUCUUCUAGUCUAAGUAUCUUUAAGAAAGAAAUGUGAUAUUCAGGAGGCAGGAAGUAGAUGUCUCCUUCAGCUCCUUCAAUCUUGAAGGCAUUCAUUGAGCAUCUGUGCUUUGGCCAGGACUCCAAUUUCCUACAGCAGUGUGCAAAACUCCUGGAAGGAGGGGUCCAGGUCUUUUUCAGCAUUUCAUCCCCAGCAUUUAGGGAUAAUGAAGAGAAAAUGUAAGAACUUGUCUUAAAGAUAUUUUUCUAUUCAGACAGAAUAAGAAAGCCCCAGCAGUUACUUAGGAAUUUUGAUGGGGGUAGCAAAGGAAACUGGAACAAAGGAGCCAUAUUGCUGACCUAACUUCUGCAGAGCCUACCCUCUAGGGAUGCAUCCAAGAGUGGUGAUGGACCUCAGUUUCCUGUGACAAUGGGUCAGAUCUGAGGUGGGCUGGCAAUGUGAGAAGUUUGUGAUAUUGUACAGACUGGUUUAAAAGAGAAAUGAACUCAUCAAGUUGGCUUCACUUGAACCAUGCAUCAAGCUAACCUCUUUCUAUCAAUCCACAAAGAUUGAUUGAACACCUCCUAAUUGCCCAGCACUGUGCAAGACCCUAGGAGAGACAGAAAACAAGUAUAACUCUUGGCCAUCGUCUUUGGCAAUAUAAAAGUUUUUUGCCUUUAUCUUCCACUCUCUCGGGGAAUUACACUUUCUCCUCACGAACAGGCUUUUCAUCAAGUAUAUCUCUAGUCCACUCGCCUGAAUGGCAAUAACUCUUCUUUAAACAUUCCUAUCCUCUCACUCAGUUGUCCUCACAUUCCUAGCUUUGCACCUGCAAAGUGCCCCUGAGACUUCAGAGCAAAACUCAGUGACUUCCUUAGGGAAGAACAGAACAGGAAAAAUGAAAAGUGCGAAUAGAAGAAAAGAGACCACUCAACGCAUACAUUUAUCUACAAGUGUUUUAUAAUCCAUCUCUCUCUGAUUUUUAAUAUUCAACCUGUGCUUUACAAUAUUGGUUGUAUUUAUUAACAUAAUAUUUAUAAACAAAAUUAUAGUAUAAAUUUCAUGAACCCUAACAUCCAAGCAAAUGCUAAGCACAUAGAGAGAUCAGAGUAGAUUUAGCCAUGCCCCCAUUACAGAACAUUAACAACACUUGGGCUGCGUCACAUGCAGUAGCUAUAAAUGAAAUUUGUCUCCAAUCUGCAUACUUCUAAAUCCCCAAUUGAGGGCAUGUUUAAAAAUAAACAUGCCGCAGGAAAAAUAAGAUCAGUAUAAUAGCAAGAGAAAUUAGAGUGGCUAUUAGUAUAUUAAUUGAACACCAGAUGGAAAAGGAAAACAAAUAAUAGCAUGCCAGUCUCCACAAGAAAUGUCUUCUAAACAUUUUAGAAGAAAUUUUAAAACAACAUGUGGUAGUAAGGUGUAUGGGUAAUAUAUUUUCAGUUAUCCUGAGCUUGCUAGUGACCAAAAUAGCUUAUGUAUUAUACCACUACAGGAUAUGAAGUCAGAAAUUGUAGAGAAGUCCACCAGCAAUUUAAUUGGGAGUGACCUUUACAAAUAACAGAUACCAAGCUUUUCAUAUAAUUGUUGUUGGUUUAAUUAUCUGGGAACUGCGUGCGUGUGUGUGUGUGUGUGUGUGUGUACGUGUGCAUGCACGUGUUUGCAUGUGCUUAUCAAAUUCUGUUGUCUUUCUUGCCAUGUGCAAAUGUCAUACACAGUGACCCCGGUGGCCUGGGUGAAGAUUAAUGCCAUUCCAGUGGUUCAGAAGCCUGUGGGUGGCUUUGCUAUGGGCUGGCAUGUCAAGCAACUUCAGGAUGCUUCUUUGAGCUGUCCUUACUGAUCCCGCUCACAGUUGAAGCCUGUAAAAGGCAGUGUCUAACAACCCACAAUUUAGGAGCUGUUAUAUAAACUUCUUUUCUGAGAAAGAGAGAGAGAGGGAAAGCCAGCAAGUGAGGGAUAGAGGGAGAGAAAGAGAUUCCUAACCAGUCUCCAUGCCCAGCAUGGAGCCCUACAUGGGGGUUUAUUCCUAUGACUGUGAGAUCAUGACCUGAGCCAAAAUCAAGAGUCAGACGCCCAACCGACUGAGCCAUGCUGGGGCCCCAGAAGAUAUUAAAAAUUCCUUGAAUUAGUCCAGUUUUAGAAAAUGUGCCCAAAUAUAUAAAAGCGUUUGUUCCCUUGUUCAUUUCCAUAGGGAAUAAUUAUUUUCUGAUUUUCUCAUGUAUUGUAUUCUAAAAUAUAAAAAGAUUUUUGUGGAAUAAAGGACACUCCCUAAUGUAUGUCCCUACAGAUGUUUUAGCUAUGUUAAAACUGACUCUGAAAUGUCAAAGUUGAUAUAUUUAUUCUUUGUUAAAUUCUAUUAUUCAUCAAACUCUCUUGAACACAUACAAUGUGUCAGAUGUCAUUGGGCACAAAGUUGGAUCUCCUAAGUGAGAGUGAGUCCAGUCACCUUAUUCAGUCACUGUGAUGCAAUAGAGUAACAGCAGUAAUAUGGGUAAGGAAGACAUGUUAUGGGACCAUAGGUGGGAGAACAUUUAAGUCUGCCUGGGAAGGUCAAGGAAAACCUCAGGAUGUGGCCUUGAAGGUCAAGUAUGAAUUCUCUCAGGAAUGAGAAAAGCUGUUUCAAAAGACAGAAACCAAUUGAUAAAUCCUUAACGUAGUAUAUAUUCAUCCAUCAGAUCUUGCCUUUCCCAUUGUCUUCUAGAAAUUCAUUGUUACCAGAGGCUUCCAAGCUGGAUUUAGUAUACUCCUAGGAUGUCUCUUCACCAUCAUUCAGUGCUCUCAUCACUGUUUUAAUUAUUUGUUUUUCCAUACCCCUUCUAGAUAGUACUUCCCUCAGAGUGUCAAAACUACUCAUUGUGGAAUCCCUAGCCCAAUCAAUGCCUGGCACGUAGCAGCCACUCAUAGAAUAUUAAAUAAAAUAAUAAACAUUUGGGAUAACCUAAUGCGACAUGAAUGUAGGGGACAUGAUAGUCCGAGCCAGGUUGCAGUGGGCCUUAAGUGUGCUUCUAAAUGAGGUUACAGAUGUUACAUACCAGGCAGCAGGGAUUCAGUGACUGCUUUGAAUGGAGGAAUGAUGUGGUACCUUUAGUGGCAGGUGGGGUGUGGACUGAAAUGGGGAGUGACUGACUGGGAGAUGUGUCCUGGAUCUCCCUCCCUGAGUGGAACAGAUGCAUGGAUAGAUAUUAGAAUGCACCAACCUGCAACCUGGUUAUAGGCUUGGGAGCUGGAAGGGGACAGAUUCUUAAUAGUAACAUCCUGUGGGAUUUCUAAGUUCAUCACCAAGCCGACAUUGGAAUCUAGGUUACUGGGUUCUAGAACAUGGAGUGAAGGCAUAGGAGGCCAAGAAUAGAAGAUCAGGAAGUGAAGACCUGAAAGAAUUCCCGGUGCUGAGCAGCAAGCAGCCACCAUGAAUUUUCCCAGAUGCAGCUUGCUGUUAAGGGUGGUGAAAGAAGAGAAGCUGAGGCCUCUCAGUGGCUUCCUCGGUAACACUCAGAACUGGAACUAGAAUGAAAUAUUUAUGAAUUCACCGAUUCCUGAAGUGGUAUUAACAACCUACUGCAUGCAGGGAUUUGUGCUCUUUACACCGCACUGUUCCUACAACAAUCAGAAUUGGUUGGUUGGAGUGAAAAAUGCAAAAUAAAUACUUCAUUGAAUAGAAGGGGCACCAUUCCAGGUAUGAAAGAAUAUAAUUUUUUUUUAUAAACCCAGGGUGAUUUUAGCAGUUAAAAAAUGAAAACAAAAAACAUUAUGAUAACUUCCUCUGGUUUAUUUUGAAAUCCACCAAGAAAUUGAACAUUUCUUCAUGUGCAGGCAAUAGGAGAUAAAGCAUUAAGCUGAUUGUUGGUUGCCAUUCAAAAUGCAUUUUAGACUCUGUGGGAUGACAAAGGAGACUGGUAUCCAGGAAGGAUUGUUAUGUAUUUACAAGUACAUGGUCAAAUACCUGAAGCCUUUGAAACUAGAAGUGUUUUAGAAUGCAGAGUUUGUCAUUAGUAAGAAGGUAAAAUGGGCAUAUAGCAGACACCUUCUUCCAGAUCUGGUGUAGCACCCUCAGAUUAAACACAUUCAUUUUUCUGCUAAGAAAUGUGUAAGUAAUUCACACUGAGUGGGAUAAAUAAAGACUCUAAACAGCUUUGUGUCUAUUCAGAUCUGAUUUUGCUGCCAAGAGAGCUCAGAUUGGAUAUUGCCACCAAACGAGUUCAAAAAACUUUUGGUUUUCAAAAUUGUCGAUAAAGAAUUGUGAACCUAUAUUACCUUUAGGGAACUGGAGUUGGGGGUGAAGAGAGUUCACACAUUUUUCAGUUUGAGCAAAAUUAGUCACUGACCUUCCUGACAUAGAAUAUCAAUUCCCUUCUUAUCCUAAAAUAGUCCCUCAGUGUAUUCUAGGUAGGCUUUAGUGAAAGAAAGUCAACCAAUAGUUUAAUGAUGCUAUUUUUUGUCUACUUUAUUAUUACUGUUAUUGUCUAGCCAUGAAUCAUAUUAGUUCUCUUCUUACUGUUUUCUAAUGAAUAAAAUAAAACAAAAUGUGUGCUGUUUUGUUUUUUUGUUCGUGGCUCUUAGUUUGUAAUGUAGUGCGAGUACCCCAGCCAGACUGUCCCCAACCCAGUCCUACCUGCAGUGGGAGGAUCUCCCAUAGCCCAAGCUUUUCUCUCCAAGAAGAGCAUAAAGUCAAGUGAGCCCUUCUCACUGGGUAAGUUUUGAGUAAUCUUUGUGGCACUCUCUUAAGACCUAAAUAGACUUUAACCACCUUGCAUUGUGCAAUCCUUAAAUUCUAAAACCCUUGUAGCGGAGAAUGUGCAUCUCUUCCAGCCAGGCAGUGUGCUAAAAGGGAAAGACCACUAGGUACUUGACAGUUUGUGACAAAUCACAUUGAGUUACACAUGAUAACACAAGCUUAUUUUUAUUGUGAACUUUUUUCAUUGUAUUAUCUUUAUAUAUACUUUUGCCUCGCUGGUUGAAGGUCUUAGAGUAAGAGGAUUAUGAACUCAGCUUGGAACGACUCUUCCCUAAAAUGAAUUGUUAAUGUUUUAAAUACCAGAUACAGUUAAAAGGGUUUUCCUCACAUUUAAAUUUUUCUUGAUAAAACAUGUAUAAGUUUACUUAGUGUCUUUUUAGUAUUAACUCUUAUAGGAAAUGACACAUAAAAGAACAAAACAUUGUUAUGUCCCUCAGGGGAAGUUCAAUCUAGAGGGCAAAGGGCACAUAAUAAUACAUUAUAAUAUUUCUACUUACAGGCUAGAAUGGUAGGCUAGGAGGAUGGAAUUUGUCCCUAAAGUAUAGAAAGGAAGGAAGGGCAUUAGGGGAAGUAGGAAGAGCAUAGGCAAAACACAGAGGCAUGACAGUACAGUAGGACAUCAGGUGUGGCUGCAACAUGGAGGCUGGAAGGCUGCAGAUAACACUUGAAGCCGAAGAUGAAGAAUAAAUGAAUCAACUAAACAGGUACACUGUGUAACCCUAAGCAGUCCAGAGCAGUGCUGUUAGAAACUAGCAAUUUCACUGUGUCUGUCUUUCAUAUUUGUAAAUGAGCUAAAAACUAAGAUGCUUUGGGUUGAGGGGUGCCUAGGUGGUUCAAUCAGUUAAGCUUCUGACUCUUGAUUUCAGCUCAGGUCAUGAUCUCACUGUUUGUGGGAGUUUGA